UAGGGAAUCUUCCACAAUGGGCGCAAGCCUGAUGGAGCAACACCGCGUGAGUGAAGAAGGGUUUCGGCUCGUAAAGCUCUGUUGUUAAAGAAGAACACGUAUGAGAGUAACUGUUCAUACGUUGACGGGAUUUAACCAGAAAGUCACGGCUAACUACGUGUCAG
RNAcentral lists this ribosomal RNA (164 nucleotides) under uncultured bacterium. RNAcentral's name for it is "partial 16S ribosomal RNA". It matches the Rfam family "Bacterial small subunit ribosomal RNA", at positions 355 to 511 of the family's 1533-position model. The record is from RNAcentral.